Mus musculus (house mouse) is the source of this 105-nucleotide non-coding RNA. Lineage: Eukaryota; Metazoa; Chordata; Mammalia; Rodentia; Muridae. The record is from Rfam.
GCUAGCUUUGGCAGUACAUGUAUUAAAAUUGUAACUAUACAGAGAAGAUUAACACGGCCCCUGUGCAAGGAUGAUAAGCAAAUUCAUGAAACAUUCCAUAUUUAA